GAUGAACGCUGGCGGCGUGCCUAAUACAUGCAAGUCGAGCGAACAGACGGGGAGCUUGCUCCUCUGACGUUAGCGGCGGACGGGUGAGUAACACGUGGAUAACCUACCUAUAAGACUGGGAUAACUUCGGGAAACCGGAGCCAAUACCGGAUAAUAUAUUGAACCGCAUGGUUCAAUAGUGAAAGACGGUUUUGCUGUCACUUAUAGAUGGAUCCGCGCCGCAUUAGCUAGUUGGUAAGGUAACGGCUUACCAAGGCAACGAUGCGUAGCCGACCUGAGAGGGUGAUCGGCCACACUGGAACUGAGACACGGUCCAGACUCCUACGGGAGGCAGCAGUAGGGAAUCUUCCGCAAUGGGCGAAAGCCUGACGGAGCAACGCCGCGUGAGUGAUGAAGGUCUUCGGAUCGUAAAACUCUGUUAUUAGGGAAGAACAAAUGUGUAAGUAACUAUGCACGUCUUGACGGUACCUAAUCAGAAAGCCACGGCUAACUACGUG
This 497-nucleotide ribosomal RNA is filed under the name uncultured bacterium. RNAcentral's name for it is "partial 16S ribosomal RNA". It matches the Rfam family "Bacterial small subunit ribosomal RNA", at positions 28 to 507 of the family's 1533-position model. The record is from RNAcentral.